Molecule: ribosomal RNA, 292 nt
Filed under: uncultured bacterium
Lineage: Bacteria
Description: partial 16S ribosomal RNA
Rfam family: Bacterial small subunit ribosomal RNA
Source: RNAcentral
GUGUCAGCCGCCGCGGUAAUACGUAGGAUCCGAGCGUUAUCCGAAUUUACUGGGCGUAAAGCGCGUGCAGGUGGUUUGGUAAGUUGGAUGUGAAAGCUCCUGGCUCAACUGGGAGAGGCCGUUCAAAACUACCAGACUAGAGGACAGUAGAGGGAGGUGGAAUUCCCGGUGUAGUAGUGAAAUGCGUAGAUAUCGGGAGGAACACCAGUGGCGAAAGCGGCCUCCUGGACUGUUCCUGACACUCAGAUGCGAAAGCUAGGGGAGCAAACGGGAUUAGAUACCCGCGUAGUCC